This 1561-nucleotide ribosomal RNA is filed under the name metagenome. Its description in RNAcentral is "bacterial LSU rRNA". It matches the Rfam family "Bacterial large subunit ribosomal RNA", at positions 1339 to 2925 of the family's 2925-position model. The record is from RNAcentral.
GAAUAUCCAAGGUUUCCAGGGUAAAGCUGAUCUGCCCUGGGUAAGUCGGGGCCUAAGGUGAGGGCGAGAGCCGUAGCCGAUGGACAACAGGUGGAGAUUCCUGUACUAUGAUAUGACAGAACUGUGGGGACACGUGCAGAGAGCGGAAGCCGGGAAUGGAAUCCCGGUGCAAGCGAGGUACCAGUCACAUUGGAAAAACCGUGUGGCAAUGGGAAGACGUGAUGCGGAGUGAAAAAUAGUAACGAAGUCCGUGAGCUGUGCGUCAAGAAAAGCCGCUAUUGUUCAUACCAUACCCGUACCGUAAACCGACACAGGUGGAUGAGGAGAGAAUCCUAAGGCCGGCGGAAGAAGCAUUGUCAAGGAACUCGGCAAAAUGACCCCGUAACUUCGGGAGAAGGGGUGCCACUGAAAAGUGGCCGCAGAGAAUAGGCUCAAGCAACUGUUUAGCAAAAACACAGGUCUAUGCGAAACCGUGAGGUGAGGUAUAUGGGCUGACGCCUGCCCGGUGCUGGAAGGUUAAGAGGAGAGGUUAGCGCAAGCGAAGCUUUGAAUUUAAGCCCCAGUAAACGGCGGCCGUAACCAUAACGGUCCUAAGGUAGCGAAAUUCCUUGUCGGGUAAGUUCCGACCCGCACGAAAGGCGUAAUGAUUUGAGCGCUGUCUCGACAAUGCAUCCGGUGAAAUUGAAGUACCAGUGAAGAUGCUGGUUACCUGCGCCAGGACGGAAAGACCCCAUGGAGCUUUACUCCAGUUUGGUACUGGGAUCCGGUACUGCAUGUACAGGAUAGGUGGGAGGCUGUGAAAUAGUAACGCCAGUUAUUAUGGAGCCGCUGUUGGGAUACCACCCUUGCAGUAUUGGGUUUCUAACCAGCCGCCGUGACCCGGCGGUGGGACAAUGCCAGACGGGGAGUUUGACUGGGGCGGUCGCCUCCGGAAGGGUAUCGGAGGCGCCCAAAGGUUCCCUCAGAAUGGACGGAAACCAUUCGAAGAGUGCAAAGGCAGAAGGGAGCUUGACUGCGACACCGACGGGUGGAGCAGGUACGAAAGUAGGGCUUAGUGAUCCGGUGGUAUUAAGUGGGAAUGCCAUCGCUCAAGGGAUAAAAGCUACCCUGGGAUAACAGGCUUAUCACUCCCAAGAGUUCACAUCGACGGAGUGGUCUGGCACCUCGAUGUCGGCUCAUCGCAUCCUGGGGCUGUAGUAGGUCCCAAGGGUUGGGCUGUUCGCCCAUUAAAGCGGUACGCGAGCUGGGUUCAGAACGUCGUGAGACAGUUCGGUCCCUAUCCGGCGUGGGCGUAGGAUAUCUGAGAGGAGCUGUCCUUAGUACGAGAGGACCGGGAUGGACGGGCCGCUGGUGCACCGGUUAGACUGCCAAGUCUAUAGCCGGGUAGCCAAGCCCGGAAGGGAUAAACGCUGAAUGCAUCUAAGCGUGAAGCCCCCCUCAAGAUGAGAUAUCCCAUCCGAAAGGAGUAAACCCCCUUGAAGACGACGAGGUUGAUAGGGCAGAGGUGGAAGUACGGUAACGUAUGGAGCUGACUGCUACUAAUAGGGUGAGGGCUUGACCG